Molecule: unclassified non-coding RNA, 968 nt
Filed under: Hevea brasiliensis (rubber tree)
Lineage: Eukaryota; Viridiplantae; Streptophyta; Magnoliopsida; Malpighiales; Euphorbiaceae
Source: RNAcentral
UGUCUUAUAAAUAGUAUACGGAGAUCUUCUAUAUAAAAGAAAAAUCCAGUAGUCGAGCCUUUUUUUUUGUCUGCUAUAAUCACAGCUUUAAUUCUAUAACUAAACAACGUUCCUAUAACAGGUCAUUACCCACCCACCAGAUCGAGCACUUCUGCCUUAUUCUUCUCAAGGAAGAUCUCCGUAUACUAUUUAUAAGACAAGCAAACCCAAAACUUUAUACAAAUAUUGGACAAAAAAUAAUAAAUUACAGGAAUCUGGCAGGCAGGCCUGCCCCAAACCCAGCCAACCUAAACCACCAGCCUUCGGCAGUUUCUGGAAUGCAACAAAAAUUCAACCUCGUGCAGGCCAUAAGUGCUAAGAAGAUGCAUUCUCAUCGUCAGAGGAACUGCAUUGCUUCCUAGCGCUGGGUCCAGAAAAUACCUGUGGCAGAGUUGGAUUUACAGGAACUGGAAACUUAUGGGCAGAACUAACUAUCGUUCGCUCAUUUAUCAUACCAACUUCUUUGCAUACCCGAUCAAGGACACUCAGAAAAUCCCUCACCACCAUGAAGAUUCUGAAAGGGUGAGCUUCUUCCUUAGCUGAAUUCCCAUGGAAGUACUCUGUAAUCUCUUUUACUAAAGACAAGGCAACACUUUCAUGGGCUUGAAUCCUACAGAUCUCCUCCUCCGCCAUUUCCAUGAAUCUUUUCAUUGCAUCUGAAAAUUUCUGGCUGGUUUCAUCCACCCCCAUUGUUUCAUUUAAUUGCACAACAUCAUUGAUGUUCUCAAUGCCCUUGGAAAGUUUGGCAACAUCACUGCUAAGUACAUCAGAAUCCAUAGCAGCUGCUUUCUUCACAUUUGCGAGCUCUGAGCUUAGACCAGAAACAACUUGCAGGCCAAGCUUUCUACACUUAGCAUCUUCACUUGAGAUGAAGUUUGGAGUUUGGUUGAUACCUGAAAGACGAGCACCUUCAGUUCUUAUAAUUUCCU